UGAUGUGUUUACAGGCAGAAAAAAGCAUGGCAAAUUCUUGUAGGGGUUUGUUAUUGUUAUUGGGAUACAUAUGCAGAGUUUGAAGAAAAGAAUGGAAAGAAGACAUAUUUCCUCUUCUGAAGUGUCUGAUUGAUUCUGACUUCGAUACUAGUAUCUGAGAGGAAGGCUGGCAAAACCUCUUUGAAGGCAAUGCACACGUUGUUGGCAGCAGCCUGAAUUGCAAACGUGUUCAAAGCUAGUCUUCCAUAGUCAUCAUCUGUUGUGAUGACACCAAUCCAGUUCCAUCCAGAUUGUUGAAUCAGGUGGGCCAUUGCUUUAGUUUGGUAGAAGUCACUGGGCACAGUCCGUAAAAAUGAAGGAAAGCGGAUUUUGUCACUCAGGAUUUCUGCCGUGGAUUCAUAACUCACCUGGAAGCAGAUAGAAUCUGUGUUAUGUUUGUGGGGCACAGGAGCCGGUUAUGCCAGAGCUUGAAGAAAUGCUGAUAUUUCAAAGCUGUGGAGAAACAAGCAUUUUCUGAAACAAGACGUGACUAAUCUAUUGAUAUGGGAUAGCUCACCUCACCCACACCUCUGCCCUUUGACGGAUAAUUUCUGGAUGAGUCCAGGUGAUUUCAUGAAAAAUAUGAACUUUAUUUGAAAACAAC
Long non-coding RNA from Peromyscus eremicus (cactus mouse), 643 nucleotides. RefSeq lists it as uncharacterized. The transcript has 3 exons. NCBI's taxonomy places the organism in Eukaryota, Metazoa, Chordata, Mammalia, Rodentia, Cricetidae. The record is from RefSeq and is a predicted model, not a curated record.